This 371-nucleotide ribosomal RNA is filed under the name uncultured organism. Its description in RNAcentral is "bacterial SSU rRNA". It matches the Rfam family "Bacterial small subunit ribosomal RNA", at positions 526 to 896 of the family's 1533-position model. The record is from RNAcentral.
CGUAGGGUGCGAGCGUUAAUCGGAAUUACUGGGCGUAAAGCGUGCGCAGGCGGUUAUAUAAGUCAGAUGUGAAAUCCCCGGGCUCAACCUGGGACCUGCAUUUGAGACUGUAUAGCUAGAGUACGGUAGAGGGGGAUGGAAUUCCGCGUGUAGCAGUGGAAAUGCGUAGAUAUGCGGAGGAACACCGAUGGCGAAGGCAAUCCCCUGGACCUGUACUGACGCUCACUGCACGAAAGCGUGGGGAGCAAACAGGAUUAGAUACCCUGGUAGUCCACGCCCUAAACGAUGUCAACUGGUUGUUGGGAAUUCACUUCUCAGUAACGAAGCUAACGCGUGAAGUUGACCGCCUGGGGAGUACGGCCGCAAGGUUG